Molecule: ribosomal RNA, 460 nt
Filed under: uncultured bacterium
Lineage: Bacteria
Description: partial 16S ribosomal RNA
Rfam family: Bacterial small subunit ribosomal RNA
Source: RNAcentral
CCUACGGGUGGCUGCAGUGAGGAAUAUUGGUCAAUGGGCUUACGCCUGAACCAGCCAAGUCGCGUGAGGGAAGACUGCCCCAUGGGUCGUAAACCUCUUUUGUCAGGGAGCAACGCCGGCUACGUGUAGCCGGACUGAGAGUACCUGAAGAAAAAGCAUCGGCUAACUCCGUGCCAGAAGCCGCGGUAAUACGGAGGAUGCGAGCGUUAUCCGGUUUUAUUGGGUUAAAGGGGUGCGUAGGCGGAACGCAAAGUCAGCGGUAAAAUCGCGGGGCUCAACCCCGCUCCGCCGUUGAAACUGUCGUUCUUGAGUGCGCGAGAAGGACGCGGAAUGCGUGGUGUAGCGGUGAAAUGCAUAGAUAUCACGCAGAACUCCGAUUGCGAAGGCAGCGUACCGGCGCCCAACUGACGCUGAAGCACGAAAGCGUGGGUAUCGAACAGGAUUAGAUACCCGAGUAGUC